This 483-nucleotide ribosomal RNA is filed under the name uncultured Gammaproteobacteria bacterium. Its description in RNAcentral is "bacterial SSU rRNA". It matches the Rfam family "Bacterial small subunit ribosomal RNA", at positions 97 to 576 of the family's 1533-position model. Lineage: Bacteria; Pseudomonadati; Pseudomonadota; Gammaproteobacteria. The record is from RNAcentral.
GGCGAACGGGUGAGUAAUGCUUUGGAAUCUGCCUAGUAGUGGGGAAUAACCUGGGGAAACUCAGGCUAAUACCGCAUACGACCUAAGGGUGAAAGCGGGGGAUCGCAAGACCUCGCGCUAUUAGAUGAGCCAAAGUCGGAUUAGCUAGUUGGUGGGGUAAAGGCCUACCAAGGCGACGAUCCGUAGCUGGUCUGAGAGGACGACCAGCCACACUGGAACUGAGACACGGUCCAGACUCCUACGGGAGGCAGCAGUGGGGAAUAUUGGACAAUGGGGGCAACCCUGAUCCAGCGACGCCGCGUGUGUGAAGAAGGCCUGCGGGUUGUAAAGCACUUUUAGUGGGGAUGAAAAGUCCAAGGUUAAUACCUUUGGAUCUUGACCUAACCUACAGAAAAAGCACCGGCUAACUCUGUGCCAGCAGCCGCGGUAAUACAGAGGGUGCAAGCGUUAAUCGGAAUUACUGGGCGUAAAGCGUGCGUAGUC